Molecule: long non-coding RNA, 1482 nt
Filed under: Cyanistes caeruleus (blue tit)
Lineage: Eukaryota; Metazoa; Chordata; Aves; Passeriformes; Paridae
Description: lncRNA (ENSCCEG00000020379.1)
Source: RNAcentral
GCCCCUCAGGGGCUGUUGCUGCUCUGAGCUGGGGCAGUUGAGACUGGGCUGGGUUCGUUAAGGCUGACCUGUGGCAGUUGAGGCUGGUCUGAGGUGGUUUAGGCUGACCUGAGGGGGUUAAGGAGGAGCUGGGGCAGUUGAGGAAGUUGAGAAAAGGCUUAGGCAGAAAAGAAGGAACCUGAGGCCUUAAAAUUCAUCUUGCCAGUGCGUGUGGCCUCCAGAGACCUCAGCAGGUGUCUCACUCCCACCUCCUCACAGUUAUCUGGGAGGGAGACCCCCAAGGGAGCACUUUCUGGAGACAAUCCAUGGAAAGCUCUCUAUGGUAGCCAUCCUGGGAGUCCUGGGAAAGCAGCUCUGUACCUCUGUUCCUGUACCAGCAAUGGUUGAGCCUCCCUGGAGAAGGGAACCUCAGAGUUUCUGGUGCUGGGGAAGAAAUGUUUCAAGAAAAAGAAAAAUAAUCGCAGCUGCAAUGUUAAAAAUAAGAAGCUAAUCAAAGGCAGCCCAUGUGGGCGCCACUUUCAUCUCUCAUCUUCAAAGAGGUGCAAACAAACAUUGUCGGCAUGCCAAGCAGCAGCCUCAGCGCCUGAUGAUCCCAUUACUCCUCCAGCGUCCACCCUCCCUUUCCAUGCUGCUGAGCCUGUAGGCAUGGGACUCCAGGAUCACUGCCAAGGUGGCAACCUCUAGUCACCAGAGGGGAAACCACAUAUGGAAUUUCUCUGUGGAUCCAAAUCAUUUCAUAACAAACAUACUUGUGCCCUAUAGAUCAUUCCUUGUACUGUUGCCUUUCUAGUAACAAUAAUAGCAUCUCUCAUUCCCUAAGAUGCUGAAAAGCCUCUGGAUCAGAGCAUUUGUUCUGGUGCUUUGAGAUAUUUUGUUUUCCAAAGGUCUGGUUAUUUUAAAAAAUAAUAUUCAGGCUCUGAUGGAAUCCAGAUGCACUUAGUGCAGCAGAAGAGUGUGGGUUAGUAGUUAAAGUGAUGGCACUUAGGGGAAUUUGAUGUGCUGGGUCUUCUCCUAGCACUUAUGAGAACUUGCCUUGAAAUCCAUGCACCUAAUAGAUUUGCACCUCAGUUUACCUGAAUUUACUUGCCUCAACACAAGCCUGGCUGUUCCUGCAUACCCUGAGGCAGUUCAUAUAAUAAGUUAACUAACUUUGAACAAACAAUUUAAGUAUCAAACCCAAGGUAUAGUGUGAUGCUGUGUCUGAACUAGUGCAACUUAUUGUAUUACAGGGUCAUCUUAAGCGCGGUAACACUGGAGCAUUGCUCCAGAAUGGGGCCUGCAAAGAAAAUGCAGAUCACUGUGUGCUAUAAGGGGCAGCAUGGGAUAAUGUAGCUUAGAUUAAGAGGAGGAAGGGUAAAUAAGGUGAUAAACAAGGUGAAGAAAAGGACUGAACUCUUUCCAUCAGUAUUGAGAUUUUCAGUGGAUGAGUGAGAGUAAAAAAAGAGAAUUUGUUCUGUGUAUGUUGCCCUGCAUUGUUCAGAG